CCUACGGGAGGCGGCAGUAAGGAAUAUUGGUCAAUGGACGCAAGUCUGAACCAGCCAUGCCGCGUGAAGGAUGAAUGCCCUCUGGGUUGUAAACUUCUUUUAUAGGGGACGAAAAAGGGUCUUUUCAGAUCAACUGACGGUACCCUAGGAAUAAGCACCGGCUAACUCCGUGCCAGCAGCCGCGGUAAUACGGAGGGUGCAAGCGUUAUCCGGAUUUACUGGGUUUAAAGGGUGCGUAGGUGGGUUGGUAAGUCAGCGGUGAAAUCUUCGAGCUUAACUCGGAAACUGCCAUUGAUACUAUCAGCCUUGAAUAUCCUGGAGGUGAGCGGAAUAUGUCAUGUAGCGGUGAAAUGCUUAGAUAUGACAUAGAACACCAAUUGCGAAGGCAGCUCACUACGGGAUUAUUGACACUGAGGCACGAAAGCGUGGGGAUCAAACAGGAUUAGAUACCCUGGUAGUCCACGACCUAACGANAGAUACUACGACAUUGUCGAUAUACAGUAAGUAGUNUGAGAGAAGACGAUAAGUA
RNAcentral lists this ribosomal RNA (529 nucleotides) under uncultured bacterium. Its description in RNAcentral is "bacterial SSU rRNA". It matches the Rfam family "Bacterial small subunit ribosomal RNA", at positions 338 to 866 of the family's 1533-position model. The record is from RNAcentral.